Molecule: ribosomal RNA, 97 nt
Filed under: uncultured bacterium
Lineage: Bacteria
Description: partial 16S ribosomal RNA
Rfam family: Bacterial small subunit ribosomal RNA
Source: RNAcentral
CACACCGCCCGUCACAGCAUGGGAGUUGGUUCUACCUUAAGACGGUGCGCUAACCGCAAGGAGGCAGCCGGCCACGGUAGGAUCAGCGACUGGGCCG